GUAGAGAUGGGGUUUUACCAUGUUGGCCAGGAUGGUCCCCAUCUCUUGACCUCAGGUGAUCCACCUGCCUCCGCCUCCCAAAGUGUGGGAUUACAGGCAUGAGCCACUGCGCCUGGCCAGCAGCAUGAGACUUUCUAACCCAGCUUUCUUUUCCCAAUCCUGAGCAGCCCAUCUGGGGCUAUGUGACUGACGGACCACUAAAACUGCCUCUGAUUCCACAUUUUGAUUUUUGCUCCCAUGUGUUCGAAUGUAUAAGCACUGUUCACAUUUUUCCCCCUCAUAUUACUUCUAUAACAACCUUGAGGUGGUCAAGGAAAAGAAAAAACACCGUCGACAUUCCUAGGCAUUUUAAUGAAAUGCACACCGGGUAUCUGACCCAGACUCCUACUUCCCUGCCAAUCUCCAGCUCAUAUCAAUUCAUUUCCCUAACAGAAAAUAGGUGUCAGCUUUGUAGAUGGAAAGUCAUUUGCCUGCAAAUAUUACCAGAGAGGUUACUGGCACUACUUGACAGUUUUAUUAUUACUUUUGUUUUGCGCUAAGGUGGGGGACUGUGCAUUUGCCAGGUAGAAUACUGGGGAAAAAAAAAAAAAAAAAGUAGAGCUUUUAACUUUGUAUUAGUUUUAACAUCAGAGGGGAAAACAAGAAACAAAGAAUAAGUGUGCUGGCCGGAUGCCCAGUACGGCUAAGGGCAGCCUCACAGGAUCCUGGCUUUCCUCACUUCCCACCCACAAACUUUCAGAUCCUGAAGCUUCAGUGUGGGUUAGAGGGAAUUACUCUGCAGCACCUGGAAAGCCAGCUCACAGGUGGGCUGCUGGGGUGACUUGGCCGGGCCUGCUUGUAAACACUGGCUAUCAACUCCUUUACAAGGAUUGAAGCUCAAUUUCAUAUGCUGCAGAGAGAUGCAAGGUAUUAUAUACCAAUGAUCCCUAAAUAUUCUUUUCUUCUUCACAUGGCUGUGAAGUUGCAAACUGAGUAUCCUUUUCAAGGGCUUGUUGAAGCAGAGAAUGAAAUACACUUAUACAGACUAAAAUAUAUCCUUAACUGACUAGCAGAGAGAUUUUGGCUUUCAUUCCAGAAUGAUGUUGCACAGAAAAGUCAACUCUUGUUCCAGGGCACGAGUAAAGAUAUCAACUCAUCUAUCUGUAGAAAAUUGCCAGAAACUGUCACAAAAUAAAAAAUGAGAGAAGGCCUGAAUUACAACAGUCCUGUUGGGGUUCUACAAGAUCCCGGCCUUUCUUCGAAGUGCUUGGAAGACCUUGGCAGAUUCAGCCAGUGUUUUGAUCACUGCCAGAGCCUGCAGCUUUGUUGCUAAUUGUUUGCUGAAAGAAUUGAGCAAAAGGACAACUGGUCCCAAGGCAAGAGUGAGGAGGCUGUCUCUUCACUAGAACUAAAGAACCAAAACUGUUCAGAAAGAGAGAAGAGCCCAGCACCUUAUACUCAGGAGAUACUGAAAAACGUCAUGUAAAGUGUUUACUGUUGCGAGAAAAGUACACGUCAGAGGAUGCCCAUUAUUGAUAUAGAGCCUUCUGUGUACCCUGGAUGAGCAUGACCAGGAUGUCACCCUCAGUUGGCUGCAGCUGUUUUCAGAAUCUGUGGGAUCAUACCCCAGAGGCAGUUGAGUCAGCCGCAGGCAUCAGGUGAGGAGGAAGAAGAGUGAGACAGCUAUUACAGGCUGCCGGGGCAGGUGGCUGUGAAGAGGUGUGGGGCCACCAAGGCUUAUAUAAGGAGGAUGGAGAACACAGGCCAAAGGGGAGGCUGUCAUGCUGACUUCGAUUGGCUAACUUAAUAUGAGGCAGACUGAGGGAGGAGGAAGAGGGCAGGAGAGAACAUGCUUUAGAAAGCAUGACGGUGUCUCAUCUGUUUGCAAGCGAACACGUAGGUGCCUUCCAAAUAGGAUCCUGAAGAAUGUGCAGAUAAAUGAAAAAUCUGAUAUACAAUAAACCACAUACCUCUUUA
Macaca mulatta (Rhesus monkey) is the source of this 1956-nucleotide long non-coding RNA. RefSeq lists it as uncharacterized. NCBI's taxonomy places the organism in Eukaryota, Metazoa, Chordata, Mammalia, Primates, Cercopithecidae. The record is from RefSeq and is a predicted model, not a curated record.